UUCCUUUCAAAACUGAAACCUAACAGAACUGAUUGGUACAUCCAAUUGAAAGUAAUCCACACCUGGGAGCAAAUAAACUAGAAAUUUGGUGAAACGUUUUCGUUGACAAGAAGGUAAACUGAAAAAUGCAUAGUCUACUCAAUUAUAUUGUUUCAGUUACAUCUUGAUUUUUUUUUCUGUGUAUAGGUAUGGAUUUGGUUGGACUUGGUUGGACUUAGCCUCAUAACUUUCAUCAUCAAUCAUACAACGUGUAGACUUUGACUGUAAAAUU
RNAcentral lists this long non-coding RNA (271 nucleotides) under Brassica napus (rape). RNAcentral's name for it is "long non-coding RNA (BNAP_LNC003384)". Lineage: Eukaryota; Viridiplantae; Streptophyta; Magnoliopsida; Brassicales; Brassicaceae. The record is from RNAcentral.